RNAcentral lists this unclassified non-coding RNA (1559 nucleotides) under Zea mays. Its description in RNAcentral is "misc RNA Zm00001eb010970". The record is from RNAcentral. Lineage: Eukaryota; Viridiplantae; Streptophyta; Magnoliopsida; Poales; Poaceae.
CAAAAAAAAUCGCACCUUUUUUGCCCCCCAUCGUGUAGAUUGUACAGCAAGAACCAAGAAGAAGAUGAACUAAUAAGCGACGAUUCCUUUCUUUCUUUUUACAGAUUUUUUUUCCCUGCGAGAAUUAGCUGUGACGACGAGUGUCGUCGAUCAAACGGCGCUAUGGCAGAGGCUGGACUUCCACUGCGAUUGCCUGGCCUCCACCCACGCCAGGAACCGGUACGCCUUGCCGAAGACGCUGAGGAACACGAGCCCGGCGACCAGGCUGUAGGCCGCGACGCCGACGCCGCCGCCCUCCGCGGCGACCCAGCCGACGAGGUACACGGCGUCGGCGGCCACGAGCACCCAGCCCGCGGCCUCCAGCGCGGACCGCGUCCACGCGCUGAGGCGCUCCUCGCCGUAGAUGCGGCACACCAUCCGCGAGCAGAGCGCGAAGAUGACCGCCAGCGCCGUCUUGGAGAGGCCGCGGUACCGCACCGCCGAGCCGCCCACGAGCAGCGGCUCCAUCCGGCACAGGCACGACGCGCACUCCCCGGAGAAGCGGGACCACCGGAGCGCCUCCAGCCCCGUGUAGUAGGGCAGCACGACGGCGUCCAGGUACAGGCUGGCGUGCAGCACGCCGGACACCGUGGACGCCUCCAGCACCGCGUACCGGACGUCGCCGUCGGCCUCGUUCCGGAACGCCAGCGCCGACGCCUGCAGCAGCAGCAGCAAUGCCGGCCCGAGCUGCGCCAGCGGGAACACGGCGUUCACCCGCUGCCCCCUGGCGAGCGCAAGCAGCACCAGCGGGAGCAGGAACGGGCCCGACGGGACCAGGUACUUCCUCCUGACGCCUCGGACGCCCGGCGCCGGCGCCGGCGCGCUGUUGCUCCCCCGGACGAGGUCGAGGACGGUGAACGCGAGGGUGGAGAGGAAGCAGUACGCGGCGAAGGCAGCGACGAGGACGCCGACGGCCGCGGAGUAGUCGCCCGGGUAGGAGCUGUCGCAGUAGUAGUGGUAGGGGCAGGUGACGAAGUCGGUGGUCUCCUCCAGCUGCCACCGCAUGCACUUGAGUAUCUGCCUCGUCACCGCGUCGCCGCCGCCGUGCUGAGCCGCUCUCCACGCCGAUCGCCCGGCACCGAAGAGCACCUGAUCAUAGGACAUGGUGGGUGGCAGCGAGCGACCGUUUCUUGACGUCCUUGAGCUCUCUGCCCCUACUUGUCCUUCUUCCUCCUCCUCUGCUGCUUCUUGUCCUGUUCGCUAUAUGCAUGCCUGCAUUUGGUAGCCGCCAGUGAUGGCUUGCUUUCGGAGGCAACCGCUCACCUUCCUCCUCUCCGCUCCUCCUCUUGGAGGCCGGUGUGCUGCUGCUGUUGCUUGUAGGAGGAGGGAGGGGAGGGGAGAGGGGUUGCAAGUUUGGAACUGGAUAGGGAAGGUUUAACUGGCGACAUUGAAGGAACUUGCCAAGCGUGCCCUUUAACGUGAAGUUUUCAAACACCGUGUACUAAUCAAAGCAAAGGUGCCCAGCAAAGAUGUGCUCUGGAUGGCUGAUGCCAUUAGCGAGGAUUAAUGGGGAGGGGGGU